This 494-nucleotide ribosomal RNA is filed under the name uncultured bacterium. RNAcentral's name for it is "partial 16S ribosomal RNA". It matches the Rfam family "Bacterial small subunit ribosomal RNA", at positions 28 to 507 of the family's 1533-position model. The record is from RNAcentral.
GACGAACGCUGGCGGCGUGCUUAACACAUGCAAGUCGAACGGUGAAGCGCCUUCCUUUUUGGUGGGUGUGGAUGAGUGGCGAACGGGUGAGUAACACGUGAGUAACCUGCCCCCUUCUUCUGGAUAACCGCAUGAAAGUGUGGCUAAUACUGGAUAUUCUGGGUCUGUCGCAUGAUGGGUCUGGGAAAGAUAUUGUUUCGGUGGGGGAUGGGCUCGCGGCCUAUCAGCUUGUUGGUGGGGUGAUGGCCUACCAAGGCGGUGACGGGUAGCCGGCCUGAGAGGGUGGACGGUCACACUGGGACUGAGACACGGCCCAGACUCCUACGGGAGGCAGCAGUGGGGAAUAUUGCACAAUGGGCGCAAGCCUGAUGCAGCGACGCCGCGUGAGGGAUGGAGGCCUUCGGGUUGUGAACCUCUUUCGCCAGUGAAGCAGGCCUGCCUCGUUUGUGGGUGGGUUGACGGUAGCUGGAUAAGAAGCGCCGGCUAACUACGUG